This 254-nucleotide ribosomal RNA is filed under the name uncultured bacterium. RNAcentral describes it as "partial 16S ribosomal RNA". It matches the Rfam family "Bacterial small subunit ribosomal RNA", at positions 524 to 776 of the family's 1533-position model. The record is from RNAcentral.
UACGUAGGUGGCAAGCGUUGUCCGGAUUUAUUGGGCGUAAAGAGCUCGUAGGCGGUGUGUCGCGUCGGCCGUGAAAACCUGCAGCUUAACUGUGGGCUUGCGGUCGAUACGGGCAUCACUGGAGUUCGGCAGGGGAGACUGGAAUUCCUGGUGUAGCGGUGAAAUGCGUAGAUAUCUGGAGGAACACCGGUGGCGAAGGCGGCAUCCUGGACCGACACUGACACUGAGGAGCGAAAGCCAGGGGAGCAAACGGG